Molecule: ribosomal RNA, 459 nt
Filed under: Prevotella sp. oral taxon 298
Lineage: Bacteria; Pseudomonadati; Bacteroidota; Bacteroidia; Bacteroidales; Prevotellaceae
Description: bacterial SSU rRNA
Rfam family: Bacterial small subunit ribosomal RNA
Source: RNAcentral
GAUGAACGCUAGCUACAGGCUUAACACAUGCAAGUCGAGGGGAAACGGCAUUAAGUGCUUGCACUUUUUGGACGUCGACCGGCGCACGGGUGAGUAACGCGUAUCCAACCUUCCCAUGACUAAGGGAUAACCUGCCGAAAGGCAGACUAAUACCUUAUGGUCUUCACUGACGGCAUCAGAUGUGAAGUAAAGAUUUAUCGGUUAUGGAUGGGGAUGCGUCUGAUUAGCUUGUUGGCGGGGUAACGGCCCACCAAGGCAACGAUCAGUAGGGGUUCUGAGAGGAAGGUCCCCCACAUUGGAACUGAGACACGGUCCAAACUCCUACGGGAGGCAGCAGUGAGGAAUAUUGGUCAAUGGGCGAGAGCCUGAACCAGCCAAGUAGCGUGCAGGAAGACGGCCCUAUGGGUUGUAAACUGCUUUUGUAUGGGGAUAAAGUCAGUCACGUGUGAUUGUUUGCAG